This is a long non-coding RNA of Ailuropoda melanoleuca (giant panda), 172 nucleotides long. RefSeq lists it as uncharacterized. Lineage: Eukaryota; Metazoa; Chordata; Mammalia; Carnivora; Ursidae. The transcript has 2 exons. The record is from RefSeq and is a predicted model, not a curated record.
CAGAGCUGCAAGAGAAGACCCUCCCAGGCAAGAAAGCAAAGGAGGUGGUGGAGGCUUAAGAUUGCAAUUCCUGGGAGAUAGAAUCUGCAUGUUCAUGACCGCUGGUGGCCUAAUCCCUGCAGAUGAGGUGUUAGGAUUAGCCUGGUUUGGUCAUAUUCUGUCCGCCUGGAAG